UGGGGAAUAUUGCACAAUGGGGGAAACCCUGAUGCAGCGAUGCCGCGUGAGUGAUGAAGGUCUUCGGAUCGUAAAGCUCUUUCGACGGGGAAGAAAAAAAUGACGGUACCUGGAGAAGAAGCCACGGCUAAUCACGUGCCAGCAGCCGCGGUAAUACGUGAGUGGCAAGCGUUAUCCGGAAUUACUGGGCGUAAAGAGCGCGUAGGCGUCUCGAUAAGUCAGAGGUGAAAAGUCAGGGCUUAACCUUGGCCUUGCCUUUGAAACUAU
Molecule: ribosomal RNA, 267 nt
Filed under: uncultured prokaryote
Description: partial 16S ribosomal RNA
Rfam family: Bacterial small subunit ribosomal RNA
Source: RNAcentral